AACACUGUUAACCUGCGGUACCUGCGGAAGGAUCAUUACCGAGUGUGGUCCCAUAAGGGGCGCCUCCCGUCCUUUGCAGGGCCUUUAGGGGCUUUUUGACUUUGCUUCGGCGGGCUUGCCCCGCCGGAACACCCUCAAGAAAAUCUUUAUGAACCGUUUGUCUGAGUUGCUUGCGAAUAAAAACAAAACUUUUAACAACGGAUCU
Molecule: unclassified non-coding RNA, 205 nt
Filed under: soil metagenome
Description: partial contains 5.8S ribosomal RNA, internal transcribed spacer 2, and large subunit ribosomal RNA
Source: RNAcentral